Molecule: ribosomal RNA, 253 nt
Filed under: uncultured bacterium
Lineage: Bacteria
Description: partial 16S ribosomal RNA
Rfam family: Bacterial small subunit ribosomal RNA
Source: RNAcentral
UACGAAGGGUGCAAACGUUGCUCGGAAUUAUUGGGCGUAAAGCGCGUGUAGGCGGCCCUGCAAGUCGGGUGUGAAAUCCCACGGCUCAACCGUGGAAGUGCACUCGAAACUGCAGGGCUAGAGUCCUGGAGAGGAAGGUGGAAUGCUUGGUGUAGAGGUGAAAUUCGUAGAUAUCAAGCAGAACACCUGCGGCGAAGGCGGCCUUCUGGACGAUGACUGACGCUGAGACGCGAAAGCGUGGGGAGCAAACAGG